AACGAACGCUGGCGGCAGGCUUAACACAUGCAAGUCGAACGGGCACCUUCGGGUGUCAGUGGCAGACGGGUGAGUAACGCGUGGGAACGUACCCUUCGGUUCGGAAUAACCCAGGGAAACUUGGGCUAACACCGGAUACGUCCGCAAGGAGAAAGAUUUAUCGCCGAAGGAUCGGCCCGCGUCGGAUUAGCUAGUUGGUGGGGUAAUGGCCCACCAAGGCGACGAUCCGUAGCUGGUCUGAGAGGAUGA
RNAcentral lists this ribosomal RNA (249 nucleotides) under uncultured bacterium. RNAcentral describes it as "partial 16S ribosomal RNA". It matches the Rfam family "Bacterial small subunit ribosomal RNA", at positions 29 to 303 of the family's 1533-position model. The record is from RNAcentral.